UACGUAGGUGGCAAGCGUUGUCCGGAAUCAUUGGGCGUAAAGCGCACGUAGGUGGUUUGUUAAGUCGGAUGUGAAAGCCCUAGGCUCAACCUAGGAAGUGCAUUCGAAACUGGCAAGCUUGAGUAUGGAAGAGGGUCGCGGAAUUCCCGGUGUAGAGGUGAAAUUCGUAGAUAUCGGGAGGAACACCAGUGGCGAAGGCGGCGACCUGGGCCAAUACUGACACUGAGGUGCGAAAGCGUGGGGAGCAAACAGG
This 253-nucleotide ribosomal RNA is filed under the name uncultured bacterium. Its description in RNAcentral is "partial 16S ribosomal RNA". It matches the Rfam family "Bacterial small subunit ribosomal RNA", at positions 524 to 776 of the family's 1533-position model. The record is from RNAcentral.